This 111-nucleotide ribosomal RNA is filed under the name Rahnella aquatilis. Lineage: Bacteria; Pseudomonadati; Pseudomonadota; Gammaproteobacteria; Enterobacterales; Yersiniaceae. The record is from RNAcentral.
UGGCGGCAUUAGCGCGGUGGUCCCACCUGACCCCAUGCCGAACUCAGAAGUGAAACGCCGUAGCGCCGAUGGUAGUGUGGGGUCUCCCCAUGCGAGAGUAGGGAACUGCCA